GCAAGACGAACGAAUCCCAAGAUUAUUGGCAAACGGAUGAGUAACACGUAAGCAAUCAACCCUACAAUGGGGGAUAAUCCAUCCCUUGGUGGACUAAUACCGCAUUCGAGCUGUUCUCAUCCCCAAUUGCUGAAAGCCGCAGGGCGCUGUUGGACGAGCUUGCUUCCUAUCAGGUAGUUGGCGGGGUAACGGCCCACCAAGCCUAAGACGGGUAACUGGCCUGACAGGACGGCCAGUCAGACGGGGACUGAGACACGGCCCCCACUCCUACGGGAGGCAGCAGCAGGGAAUUUUGCGCAAUGGACGAAAGUCUGACUCAGCGACACCGCGUGAGGGAUGAAGGCCUUCGGGCCGUAAACCUCUUUUGUAGAGGACGAGAUAGGACGGUACUCUAAGAAUAAGCCCCGGCUAACUAUGUGCCAGCAGCCGCGGUAAUACGUAUGGGGCAAGCGUUGUCCGGAUUUAUUGGGCGUAAAGGGCGAGUAGGUGGUUAAUUAACUCCUUGGUGGAAUCUCCCGGCUUAACUGGGAGGGGUCCGAGGAUAGUGGUUAACUAUAGGGACGUAGAGGAAAUCGGAAUUCCCGGUGUAGCGGAGACAUGCGUAGAUAUCGGGAGGAACACCAGUGGCGAAGGCGGAUUUCUAGACGUUUCCUGACACUGAGGCGCGAAAGCGUGGGUAGCAAACCGAAUCAGAUACUCGGGUAGUCCACGCCCUAAACUAU
RNAcentral lists this ribosomal RNA (722 nucleotides) under uncultured bacterium. Its description in RNAcentral is "bacterial SSU rRNA". It matches the Rfam family "Bacterial small subunit ribosomal RNA", at positions 57 to 810 of the family's 1533-position model. The record is from RNAcentral.